This 380-nucleotide ribosomal RNA is filed under the name uncultured eukaryote. Its description in RNAcentral is "partial 18S ribosomal RNA". It matches the Rfam family "Eukaryotic small subunit ribosomal RNA", at positions 592 to 976 of the family's 1831-position model. The record is from RNAcentral.
CAAUAGCGUAUAUUAAAGUUGUUGCAGUUAAAAAGCUCGUAGUUGGAUCUGUGGUGUGCGGUGGGCUCCGGGCACUUGUUGUCUGAGUAGCUCGCCGCUGCCAUCCUUGGGUGGAACCUGUGUGGCAUUAGGUUGUCGUGCAGGGGAUGCCCAUCGUUUACUGUGAAAAAAUUAGAGUGUUCAAAGCAGGCUUAUGCCGUUGAAUAUAUUAGCAUGGAAUAAUGAGAUAGGACUUUUUCGCUAUUUUGUUGGUUUGCGCGAAGAGGUAAUGAUUAAUAGGGACAGUUGGGGGUAUUCGUAUUCCAUUGUCAGAGGUGAAAUUCUUGGAUUUUUGGAAGACGAGCUACUGCGAAAGCAUUUACCAAGGAUGUUUUCACUAA